GCAUCUGUAGCUCAGUAGGAUAGAGCAACCGCCUCCUAAGCGGUAGGUCGCUGGUUCGACUCCAGUCAGAUGCG
RNAcentral lists this transfer RNA (74 nucleotides) under Eubacterium sp. Its description in RNAcentral is "tRNA-Arg". It matches the Rfam family "tRNA". Rfam says of the family: Transfer RNA (tRNA) molecules are approximately 80 nucleotides in length. Lineage: Bacteria; Bacillati; Bacillota; Clostridia; Eubacteriales; Eubacteriaceae. The record is from RNAcentral.